UGGCGGCCGAGUCUAGCGGGAUUUGCCAAUAUCCUUUGCACAGGUUCAGGGUAGUUAGUGCCCGCUGGCCAUGCGAUCGAGCAAUUAGUUGAUCCGUUGCAUGGGGUAUGCGUCCGUGAUAGUCCGGUCAUUCAGUUUCCGGUAAUCAAUACAGAAGCAAGUCGUACCGUCUCGCUUUGGUACUAAAACCACCGGGGAUGCCUAGGGACUUUGGGAAGCCUCAAUGACUUCUAAUUCCAACAUUUCUUGGAUUUCUUUCCACAUGCU
Non-coding RNA from Pelobates cultripes (western spadefoot toad), 267 nucleotides. The record is from the annotation of a GenBank genome assembly. Lineage: Eukaryota; Metazoa; Chordata; Amphibia; Anura; Pelobatidae.